Molecule: unclassified non-coding RNA, 294 nt
Filed under: Pelagirhabdus alkalitolerans
Lineage: Bacteria; Bacillati; Bacillota; Bacilli; Caryophanales; Bacillaceae
Description: Bacterial RNase P class B
Rfam family: Bacterial RNase P class B
About the family: Ribonuclease P (RNase P) is a ubiquitous endoribonuclease, found in archaea, bacteria and eukarya as well as chloroplasts and mitochondria. Its best characterised activity is the generation of mature 5'-ends of tRNAs by cleaving the 5'-leader elements of precursor-tRNAs.
Source: RNAcentral
AUCGCUGCAUAUGAGUUUCCAUAUGUUGAGGAAAGUCCAUGCUCACAGGUGCUGAAAUGCACGUAGUGUUCGUGCUUGAUGAAAUCAUAAAUCAAGGGAGUUGUUAAUCAACUUACGGCAGGGAAAUGAGCUAAGUCGCAAGAUAGGCUCAAAAUACCUUGAAAGUGCCACAGUGACGAAGUCAAAUUGGAAACAAUUUGAGUGGAACGAGGUAAACCCCACGAGUGAGAAACCCAAAUUUUGGUAGGGGCAUCUUGGAUUAGGGAAUCAUAAACCGAAACAAGGACUGUUCGC